This 31-nucleotide non-coding RNA is filed under the name Homo sapiens (human). The record is from RNAcentral. Lineage: Eukaryota; Metazoa; Chordata; Mammalia; Primates; Hominidae.
GACCACAUCACAUAUGAGUUGCCUGGAUUGC